Long non-coding RNA from Nothoprocta perdicaria, 282 nucleotides. RefSeq lists it as uncharacterized. The transcript is spliced from 2 exons. Lineage: Eukaryota; Metazoa; Chordata; Aves; Tinamiformes; Tinamidae. The record is from RefSeq and is a predicted model, not a curated record.
UGCUAACAGCCCUGGGACUGCGUGCACUAGCUGGCAUUAAUUCCAUUACUUCCAACCUUACCCACCUCAAACCACAAGAAAACCACCCUCCCUUAUGCCUAUGAAGAACAGAAGAAAAAUACAACUAAAGAUAAAAAAAAGUUUGGAGUAUUUUGACCUACAACUAACAGUAGCUGUGGAUGAAGGACUCCAGGCUGACGAAACACUUCACGCCAUCCUCUGCAUCACAACAAACUUCAGCAAGAUAACGUCCUUGACAUAGUUCUCCAAAGUAAUCUAAAA